GAGUUUGAUCCUGGCUCAGAGCGAACGCUGGCGGCAGGCCUAACACAUGCAAGUCGAGCGCACCUUUUCGGAGGUGAGCGGGGCACGGGUGAGUAGCGCGUGGGAACCUACCCUGGGGUAGGGGAUAAGCGCUGGAAACGGCGGCUAAUACCCUAUACGUCCUUCGGGAGAAAGAUUUAUCGCCCUGGGAUGGGCCCGCGUCGGAUUAUCUAGUUGGUGGGGUAAAGGAUCACCAUGGGGACGAUCCGUAACUGGUCUGAAAGGAUGAUCAGCCACGCUGGGACUGAGACUCGGCCCAGACUCCUACGGGAGGCAGCAGUGGGGAAUAUUGGACAAUGGGCGCAAGCCUGAUCCAGCCAUGCCGCGUGAGUGAAGAAGGCCUUAGGGUUGUAAAGCUCUUUCACCCGCGAAGAUGAUGACGGUAGCGGGAGAAGAAGCCCCGGCUAACUCCGUGCCAGCAUCCGCGGUAAUACGGAGGGGGCAAGCGUUGUUCGGAUUUACUGGGCGUAAAGGGCGCGUACGUGGAUGUUCGCGUCAGAUGUGAAAGCCCCGGGCUCAACCUGGGAACUGCCUUUGAGACGGGACAUCUUGAGUUCGGAAGAGGGUAUCGGAAUUCCCAGUGUAGAGGUGAAGUUCGUAGAUAUUGCGAAGAACAUCGGUAGCGAAAGCGGCUACCUGGUCCGACACUGACGCUGAAGCGCGAAAGCGUGGGGAGCAUACAGGAUUACAUACCCUGGUAGUCCACGCCGUAAACGAUGUGCGCUAGGCGUUGGGAUGCUUAGCAUUUCGGUGGCGAACUUAGCGCAUUAAGCGCACCGCCUGGGGGAGUACUGCCGCUAGAGUUCUAACUCUUACGGAUUUGACGGGGGGCCCGCACAAGCUGCUGGAGCAUGAGGCUUUAAUUCGCAAGCAUCGCAGCGGAAUCUUUACCAGUCCAUUGACGUGGGUUUUCC
RNAcentral lists this ribosomal RNA (953 nucleotides) under uncultured bacterium. Its description in RNAcentral is "bacterial SSU rRNA". It matches the Rfam family "Bacterial small subunit ribosomal RNA", at positions 9 to 996 of the family's 1533-position model. The record is from RNAcentral.